Molecule: transfer RNA, 62 nt
Filed under: Prostomis sp. PRO01
Lineage: Eukaryota; Metazoa; Arthropoda; Insecta; Coleoptera; Prostomidae
Description: tRNA-Tyr
Source: RNAcentral
GGUAAAAUGGCUGAGAAUAGGCAAUAAAUUGUAAAUUUAUUUAGGAAUUGUUUCUUUUACCA